Molecule: ribosomal RNA, 288 nt
Filed under: bacterium
Lineage: Bacteria
Description: partial 16S ribosomal RNA
Rfam family: Bacterial small subunit ribosomal RNA
Source: RNAcentral
UUAAAUUAGAGUUUGAUCCUAGCUCAGGGUGAACGCUGGCGGCGUGGAUGAGGCAUGCAAGUCGAAUGGGUUUAGACCCAUGGCAGACGAGGUAGGAACACGUAGGUACGUACCCCAAAGUCAGGGAUAACCUGGAGAAAUCCAGAAUAAUACUUGAUAGUCUCUUCGGAGUAAAGAUUUAUCGCUUUGGGAACGGCCUGUGGGCUAUCAGCUAGUUGGUACGGUAACGGCGUACCAAGGCUACGACGGCUAGGGGAGGUGAGAGCCUGACCCCCACCGAUGGAACUG